RNAcentral lists this ribosomal RNA (411 nucleotides) under Clostridium haemolyticum NCTC 8350. RNAcentral describes it as "bacterial SSU rRNA". It matches the Rfam family "Bacterial small subunit ribosomal RNA", at positions 1131 to 1533 of the family's 1533-position model. The record is from RNAcentral. Lineage: Bacteria; Bacillati; Bacillota; Clostridia; Eubacteriales; Clostridiaceae.
UUAAGCACUCUAACGAGACUGCCGCGGUUAACGUGGAGGAAGGUGGGGAUGACGUCAAAUCAUCAUGCCCCUUAUGUCUAGGGCUACACACGUGCUACAAUGGCUGGUACAACGAGCAGCAAACCCGCGAGGGGGAGCAAAACUUGAAAGCCAGUCCCAGUUCGGAUUGUAGGCUGAAACUCGCCUACAUGAAGUUGGAGUUGCUAGUAAUCGCGAAUCAGCAUGUCGCGGUGAAUACGUUCCCGGGUCUUGUACACACCGCCCGUCACACCAUGAGAGCCGGUAACACCCGAAGCCCGUGAGGUAACCGUAAGGAGCCAGCGGUCGAAGGUGGGAUUGGUGAUUGGGGUGAAGUCGUAACAAGGUAGCCGUAGGAGAACCUGCGGCUGGAUCACCUCCUUUCUAGGGAGA